UGGUGAUCUUCUCUCUAUUACCAGYUCACACGAGAAUGACUUUGUCAACGAUGUAUUUGUGGAGAGCCUGAAUUUGACGUACAUACAAGAGAAAGAUUUAAGUUCUGACCACAUCCAUUUUAAGCUAAACGGAGACGAUCCUAGGGUCGAGAUUCGUGGAGUACAAGGAGAUGCUAACUACGAGUUUCAAGGAAGAGAAAAAGCAUUAUUCUUGCACGGAAAGAAAGGCUAUGCUAAAA
Molecule: long non-coding RNA, 239 nt
Organism: Exaiptasia diaphana
Lineage: Eukaryota; Metazoa; Cnidaria; Anthozoa; Actiniaria; Aiptasiidae
Exons: 3
Source: RefSeq, a predicted model, not a curated record